RNAcentral lists this transfer RNA (67 nucleotides) under Centruchoides laticornis. RNAcentral describes it as "tRNA-Leu". Lineage: Eukaryota; Metazoa; Arthropoda; Insecta; Hemiptera; Membracidae. The record is from RNAcentral.
UCUAAUGUGACAGAAUUUUAUGUGGUAAAUUUAAGAUUUAUAAAUAAGUAAAUUUACUUCUUUAGAA